This is a long non-coding RNA of Vicia villosa (hairy vetch), 1447 nucleotides long. RefSeq lists it as uncharacterized. NCBI's taxonomy places the organism in Eukaryota, Viridiplantae, Streptophyta, Magnoliopsida, Fabales, Fabaceae. The record is from RefSeq and is a predicted model, not a curated record. The transcript has 2 exons.
AGAAAGGGGAAUUGGGAUUUAGCAUGUGUCGUUUCAACUUUCACGUGAACUGAAACCUCUCUCUCUCUCUCUCUCUCUCUCUCUCGUUUUCAGACCUCCCUCUCGAGCUUCGCCGGAAAUCGCUCCGCCGUGCCGAAGGCGGUGAAGCUCACCCAAACUACACAAUGGUCACACCAACAGACUCCUCUCUAUGUCUUCUCUUCAAUUCUUAACCUUAAUUUCUCAGAUUCCCUCUCAAUCCUCUCUAAUCAGACUAACAAGGAAACCCUAGAUCUAACAGAAAGUUCAAUUAAACAAAGAUGGCGAUGAAUUAGGGCUUGAGAUCAUGGGGGAAAUGUUCAAGGAGCUUACUACUACACUACAAACUCAAGAAAGCAGAAAGAGAUGAAGAAGGAGGAGUCGAUUCAAAGACUUUCCUGGAUGACGAAGAUGGGGAAAAGCGUUGAGGAAAACCGGAGGGGAGAUAAUAAGCUUCUGAAGGCGAUGAACUACGCGAAAUAAAUGCGAGACCACGAUGCGGGAGUCGAUGAUUCAGGUAAGCUUCUUUGAUAAUCUUGCGCUUUCAAUUACUUUCACUUCGUCUUGCUUCUUCUUUUCUGAAUUCUCAGCUUCUCGUUUGGUCUGUACUCUGAGUUUAUUGAGAGCUUGAACGAAAUUUGCUGCGAAUUGAUGAAGACGAUGAGAGAUAAGAUUGGUUGCAGAAUGAGGAUGUUGCAGUUGAUUGAAGCAUUGGACCGUGAUUGAAGAUUGUUGAUUUUUUCUGAAGAAUGAUGGCGAGAGAGAUAGAGAUAUCAGAACGAUGGAGUAGAUGAAGAUUGUUGAUUUUUCUGAAGAAUGAUGGUGAAAGAGAUAGAGGUAUCAGAACGAUGGAGUAGAUGAAGAUUGAAGAAGAUGAGAUGUGAAGAUUGAGAAAGGGUGAAGAAAAUGGUGGAGGAGGCUUGAAUGAAGGUGGAGAAGCCUGUUAUAUAGAUCUUCUCAGGGGUGCUGCUGGUUUGUGAAAUGGUUUUGUCACUGUUAAUAGGUUUAUGUCUGAAUGGUGUGAAUGAAAUGGUAAGGUGCGUGGAUUGGUUUUGCAGGGCUGCAGCCAUGUAUGUCAACUGGUGCAAUGGUAUAAUAAAUGUUGGAAAAGUCGUGAGCAAAGCUUGGAGAACAAUACGGAAAAAUGAAGAUCCAGGAAUAAAUAUAGGAUGAUUAUAUUCUGUACAGGAUUUUUAAUGUCAAAGAUUUGUAAUGAGAUUUGUACUUUGAAAUUUAGAUCUUGUACUUUGGUGGCUUUUUGAAUGUUUGGAAUAUUUUUGUAAAUUGUAAAGGUGUGACUUCGUGUAGCAUGUGACUGGAGGGUAUGUACUUCUUGGAUAGAUAUUCACUGACUUAGUGCAUAAUUAUUGGCAAUGUAUCGGAAUAAGUAUGUCAUAAAAUUUCACAACAAUUACUUUUUUCCUUCUAA